ACAUAUAUAACUCACUGCAUAGAAGCCACGUAUAGAUUGUAUGU
Molecule: non-coding RNA, 44 nt
Filed under: Trypanosoma brucei brucei
Lineage: Eukaryota; Euglenozoa; Kinetoplastea; Trypanosomatida; Trypanosomatidae
Source: RNAcentral